RNAcentral lists this ribosomal RNA (727 nucleotides) under Escherichia coli. Its description in RNAcentral is "partial 23S ribosomal RNA". It matches the Rfam family "Bacterial large subunit ribosomal RNA", at positions 2072 to 2798 of the family's 2925-position model. The record is from RNAcentral. Lineage: Bacteria; Pseudomonadati; Pseudomonadota; Gammaproteobacteria; Enterobacterales; Enterobacteriaceae.
GCGGCAAGACGGAAAGACCCCGUGAACCUUUACUAUAGCUUGACACUGAACAUUGAGCCUUGAUGUGUAGGAUAGGUGGGAGGCUUUGAAGUGUGGACGCCAGUCUGCAUGGAGCCGACCUUGAAAUACCACCCUUUAAUGUUUGAUGUUCUAACGUGGACCCGUGAUCCGGGUUGCGGACAGUGUCUGGUGGGUAGUUUGACUGGGGCGGUCUCCUCCUAAAGAGUAACGGAGGAGCACGAAGGUUGGCUAAUCCUGGUCGGACAUCAGGAGGUUAGUGCAAUGGCAUAAGCCAGCUUGACUGCGAGCGUGACGGCGCGAGCAGGUGCGAAAGCAGGUCAUAGUGAUCCGGUGGUUCUGAAUGGAAGGGCCAUCGCUCAACGGAUAAAAGGUACUCCGGGGAUAACAGGCUGAUACCGCCCAAGAGUUCAUAUCGACGGCGGUGUUUGGCACCUCGAUGUCGGCUCAUCACAUCCUGGGGCUGAAGUAGGUCCCAAGGGUAUGGCUGUUCGCCAUUUAAAGUGGUACGCGAGCUGGGUUUAGAACGUCGUGAGACAGUUCGGUCCCUAUCUGCCGUGGGCGCUGGAGAACUGAGGGGGGCUGCUCCUAGUACGAGAGGACCGGAGUGGACGCAUCACUGGUGUUCGGGUUGUCAUGCCAAUGGCACUGCCCGGUAGCUAAAUGCGGAAGAGAUAAGUGCUGAAAGCAUCUAAGCACGAAACUUGCC